CAGCAGCCGCGGGAAUACGUAGGGUGCAAGCGUUAAUCGGAAUUACUGGGCGUAAAGCGUGCGCAGGCGGUUCGUUAAGACAGAUGUGAAAUCCCCGGGCUUAACCUGGGAACUGCGUUUGUGACUGGCGGGCCAGAGUAUGGCAGAGGGGGGUAGAAUUCCACGUGUAGCAGUGAAAUGCGUAGAGAUGUGGAGGAAUACCGAUGGCGAAGGCAGCCCCCUGGGCCAAUACUGACGCUCAUGCACGAAAGCGUGGGGAGCAAACAGGAUUAGAUACCCGCGUAGUCCCUGUCUCUUAUAC
This 301-nucleotide ribosomal RNA is filed under the name uncultured bacterium. Its description in RNAcentral is "partial 16S ribosomal RNA". It matches the Rfam family "Bacterial small subunit ribosomal RNA", at positions 509 to 807 of the family's 1533-position model. The record is from RNAcentral.